This 4928-nucleotide long non-coding RNA is filed under the name Sus scrofa (pig). RNAcentral's name for it is "lncRNA (ENSSSCG00035063085.1)". The record is from RNAcentral. Lineage: Eukaryota; Metazoa; Chordata; Mammalia; Artiodactyla; Suidae.
UGACCAGGUCCCUUAGUACUAGUAUCUGUGACAGUCAGCAUUUUCUUCCCUUUCUUCUCAAACAGACUAGACACAUCUUUUCAUAUUAUACCAAUCCAAGAAUAGUUGAGCCUCACUUUAACAGCAGGACUUCUUUUUCAAGAACUCUGUGUAAAAUAUAUUUCUGUAAAAUGAAUUGUAUUUUAUGCGUUCAGGGAGUUUUCUGUUUAAACCCUCUGAUUCUUAGUGUCCACUUCUGUUAUGACUUAGAAUCCAUGCCUGGCUGGUAUAACUUGGGGUCUUCACAUUUUUAACAUGUCACUGUUCAGUGGUCUCCCAAGAAGUGUGCAGGGUGAUCUGUAGGGGUGCACGGGAGUCCUCCAGAGGCGCUUCUUAAUGCUCUGUCUCUAAUUGAUAACAUACUAUCUGCCUGUGUAAUGUUGUUCUGAAGUGUGAGAUGUGAAGCUUUGGUUUCAUGUUUUCUCUGUAAAUCUAUAAGCCUGAAAUUAUAUCCAUCAAGUUUUUUUUUUUUAAACAAAAAUCUCUAGAAGGGCAGUUGAUCAUAACUGGAUUCUGCUGAAAUCACUCACAGAAUCUAUCAUUUUAUCAGCAGAAGCUUUGAGUAAGUUCUCUCCCCUCCCCAAGCCCAGCUUCCAUCACUGACUGAAGCCCCAACCAGAAAACCACUGCCAUGACUCAGGCCACCUACCACGAUUUCAGUUCCAUGAGAAAGCACUUUUUUAUGUGAAGUCAAACAUGAUUUUAAAACAAUAAGCCUCUUGGAUUAAAAGCAUAUUUUUCCAACCACCCAGCUGAAACUCUGUCCUCAGCUUUUGUCACCAUAGCCAGGUUAAAACUAAACAGGGAUGAUGGGCUCAGGAAAAUUGCCAGGCUCUUUUCUACCCUCUUUCCUCUUUCUGGCGACACUCUUUGCCCUCCACCCCUCAGGGAAUGAGCUGAUAAAAAAGGUAAGUCACGCUCACCAAUCCUGCUCAGGUGUGCACAGUAGCUAUCCCCACAAAUGACUGCCAGCCAGGUGUGCGCCUGGUGCUGAGUGAGUGACACUGUUACCACCCUACAUCAUUUCCAGCAGCCUGCUAGGAGGGUGCUUCACUUCGAAGGAAGCAGAGCCUUCAUUUUCUCCAAGCACUGCCAUUCGUCAUUGCUGCAUAAUUUCCACAAAUUACCCCAUCUCAUCCUCAGUGCCGUGGGAUGGGCAUAAUUGUUAACUCCAAUUUCAUAGGUGAGGAGACUAAGGCUUAGAAUUGACUUCUCUGCCCCUUGCCCUCAAGUUGUAGAAAUGCAGACAGCUUUAUUAAAGAAAUGUCAGGCUAGGGGCUGAAUUGGAGCCGUAGCUGCCUGCCUACUCCACAGCCCCAGCAACUCGGGAUCCAAGCCUCGUCUUGGACCUACACCACAGCUCACAACAACACCGGAUCCUUAACCCACUGAGCAAAGCCAGAGAUCGAACCUGCAUCCUCAUUGAUGCUAGUCAGAUUCAUUUCCACUGAGCCAUGAUGGGAACUCCCUGUUGUUUAUUCUAAAAACAAAAGGCUUCAGAAAGAAAUAAUUUCAUGGUGUGAGACUGUCAUAGUAAUGUCACUUUCUUGGUGCUCUGGGGAACACAGGUCACUAGUCACUGAUUUCUGUUCUAUUCUGAGUUAGAGCACUUUCAUCUAUGACUUUCUUUAAGGAUGUUUUUUUCAAGGGCAGCAGGACCAUUAGGUGAUGUUUUCACAUUCAAUAGUUUCUCUCUUAAGAAAAACCACAUCUUUCAGUUUGACUAUAGAAUUCAGAAAUUUGAUACCAUCUUUACUUAAUUUAUGGAUAAUUUCUCUACCAGAGUCACGGAUGAUAUUUUAUAAAAUAAAAUCUAUGGAAAAUCCCUCAUUUGUUCUGGGUUGGGUUCUUUUCCCCUUGAUUUGACAGAGGCAACUAAGCUUCUUUCUGUUUUGUUAUAUGUAAGCAUGAAUUUUCAGCAGAGCAGGAAGCUAAUUUUAGUAUUUAUAAUGACUUUCACUACAAUUGGGUUGAUUAGCAGCACAAAAAAUAAAUAUUUAAGUCAGCCUUCCCUCCAGGAUUCCACAUACAGAUUCUUUAGUCUCUGUGGCUCCUCCAGCAGAAACAUUUUGUUUCUUCAGCUUGGGGUUUUGCAGGAUUAGACUCAUCAUAGCAUUGUAUCAGAAAAUAAAUCCACGGAGUUUUAUAAAGACAAUUUUGACUUACAAUUUAUUAUCUCCUUCCUGCCUCUCAAAGCCUUGCAGAGACUGUGGGCCUGCUUCUUCCAGAAGAGUUUGUCAGCUGUUAAAAUUAAUUACCAACCUCUGUGCCCUGAAACAAAUAUACACAUGACACAAAACACACAAGAAAGUAGGCAAUGGAUGGCCAAUAAACUAGAUGUGUUGUCUUGCCACUUUAACUGCUUUUUUAGACUUUCUAAGAAAUUUAUAUGGGGGCAGGAGCAGGGAGAUAUAAAGGAUAUUUGCUUUAAACAGAACCUAGUAUUUCUUAUAAUUUCAGGGGAAGUCUGUUAAGAAAACAGAAGUUAGUCGAUAUCAACUAUGUGAGUCAACUUUUUUUUUUUUUUUUUGUAGUUUGUUGAUUAGGAAUUGUAGUAGGAUGCUGUCAGUACAUGGCUGUUUUUUCUACAAGUCUUCUAAGUACCAUAAGUUAAAUUGUAUUUCCUAAAACACAAGUGCUGUAACAGACCUGAUCCCUGCUGGCCUCCAAGGCAGCGGUUCUGUAGAAUAGUCUCUGGAAAGGAUCACAGAUCAGUUCUUUACACCUCCGAGAGGAUGCACAAGAAAAUAGUCACUUUGGUCACCUGUGGAGUGGUGGCUGGGAGAGGGUGGGAAGAAGCUUCCCCCCAUAGCCUGCUGCACCCUUUGAAUUAUGUAUUCCUUAUUCAGUAGACAUUUUAGAAGCGGUUCUGCUUAUUUGCUUAAUGAAAACAAUGAUGGCUCAAAAGCUCUAUUGUUUUAAAGGGAAACAAGUCAAUCUUGAAGGCAAACUAGAAAAAAAGUGUAGAUACCUAAAGUUUGUACAUCUCUACUCAGUUACCAAAGGCCUCCUGUUGCUACAUCUGGGGCAAAGACAGACAAAAUCACCCCAUUUACUGAAAAUCUGCAGCUUUAUGCUAAAUUCCCUCAUUCUCUGGGAGGUUACUCUCAAAACCCCUAAGCAGGAACACUUUUUUUUUUUUUUUUAAUCAGAACACUGUCUUAUUAGGGCUACUACCAAUAAUAAGAGCUACCACCUCACAGCCAUUGGGAGCUUGGUCUGGGGACAUGGCAUCAGACCCAGAUUUGGAGCAGUCAGGCAGAAAGGGCCAGAGGACCAGGAGGGGAUUGGGGACCUGGGGGCUCUCCCAGCUACUGGUGAGAUGGGAGACCUCAGAACUAGAAUCUGUAGGAAAAAGGAGGGGUCAGGCUGGGAGGGGCUGAAAGGCAUCCGUUCAUCCACACCCAAAAACGCCAUUCUGAGGUUGAACUUGGCACACCAUCCAAGUGUCAAGGAGGUCUGGCACAGACUAACUGGAAACCAAGCCCAGAACAGUGGGACUGAAGGAUGUGGGAUCUGGGAGGCAGGCAGGCAGAGCCAGUCUGGCCUGCACGCUCGAGGGACAAGUCCCCAGGGGAUGAGCAAAAGGUGGCAUGCCAGGGUGUCCAAGAUCUGGAUUUCCUAAUAGUUAUAAACUUGGGGACUGCAGUGCAGAGAGAAAACUGUGGGGUUCCUGGACGUGGUGCUCAGGAUCAGAGUGAGAGCAGCACAGAAUGAGCUUUAUAAUUGUGUGAAGUCCAGGGAGCCGUCAAUCCUUGAAUAAGAGGAUUCAUCCUGGAGCUGCAACUCUGCAUGUGGAGGAAAUGAAGCAGAGAGCUUCUUGGAAGCAGAGAGCCAGGAGAAGAGAAAAAAAAAACAAAAACAAAAGCAAGGCACAUCUUGCCUUCUCCUAAAGGUGCAGGCAUCCUAAAGAGAGUUUUCCAGAUUCUUUUUAUUUACCCCCAAACCACAUUUCCUUAACCAUAUCUAUGUGUGUAUAUUGCCUUUUAAGUUGUAUAUUUAUUGCCCUUUUGAGGGUUUGAAGUUGUCCUGCAAAGUGUAUGAACUCAAGCACAAAGUAGGGUUUAGCUUCAGCUGUACCUUAGAUUAAUACCAUAAUUUUCUGCCUUGCCACAGCAAAUAUUCCCAGUAGCAGAAUUGCUGACGCAGCUUAAAAGAUCUAGAAUCCUACAGGUCUGUCAAGCAGACAUGUCAGUUUGGAGGUGAUAAAAAUGUCUGAGAGUAGACAGCAAUGGUAGUUGCAAUACAAAAAAACCACUGAAUUGUGCCCUUUGAAAGGGUGAAUUUAAUGGUAGCUGAAUUAGAUCUCAAUUUUUUAAAAAAGAAGGCACGUCCAGGUGUAAAGUCACAGUUUAGGAAACAGAUUCUAAGGAAUAAUCUGGGACUUCCCAUUGUGGCUCAGUGGGUUAGGAAAACCAACUAGUAUCCAUGAGGAUGUGGGUUUGAUCCCUGGCCUUGCUCAGUGGGUUAAGGAUCUGGCAUUACAGUGAGCUGUGGUAUAGGUCGCAGGCGGCUUGGAUCCUGGUUGCUGUGGCUAUGGCGUGGACUGGCAGCUGUAUGAUUCAACCCCUAGCCUGGGAACUUCCAUAUGCCACAGGUGUGGCCCUAAAAAAGGAAUAAUCUCGAGUUCCUGUCGUGGCUCAGUGGUUAACGAAUCCGACUAGAAACCAUGAGGUUUCGGGUUCGAUUCCUGGCCUAGCUCAGUGGGUUAAGGAUCCGGUGUUGCCGUGAGCUGUGGUGUAGGUCACAGACGCAGCUCGGAUCCCGUGUUGCUGUGGCUCUGGCGUAGGCCAGUGGCUACAGCUCCGAUUCGACCCCUAGCCUGGGAACCUCCAUAUGCUGUGAGAGUGGCCCCAAAAAUGGCAAAAAAAAAAAAAAAAAAAAAAAAA